CGCAGGGGAGGACGGCGAGCGAAUUGAAUCUGGACAUUCACCCAGGGAAGCAACAUAUAUCUUCUGAUAUUUGUCUUGCCUCCGGUGCAAUUUCAGUUUGUCCAGUAGUGCUCUUGACAAAUUUCUAGAAUGAGGAAUGAAAUACUUGGAGAUAGGCCACCAAUUCGGUGUUGAACUCAGGUUUACACAUUGGUGCACAUGAUGUGUCAAUCAAACAUACUAUAGCCCUCAUAUAAUGGCUACUGCUGUUUGCAAAGUAAGAAUCGAAUGAUGCAAAGAGAUUUAUGUUGUAGAAGAACUUACAAGGUAGUCUCUGAAGCCCUUUCAUUGGAAUUUGACGAAAUUCACAACCACAUAGGUCACACACAAUUUAAGCCUCCAUGGUAUUAAAUAUGCCAUGUCUGUCGGUCCUCUGUUUAGAAAUGUUUUAGUCACAUAUUCUUAUGUAUUACGGUAUGACAAAAUUAGAACUUCAGGCCGUUGUUAACCGUGUUUCUCCUUUGUUGGUCUUCUCUUAAUUUGUUUGUUUGCUUCAGGAUGCCCCUAAUUUUCUAACAAAUGCAUGUGAGUAAAGAUUACAAUGGCUCAAAUAGCAUGUAGAUUUAAUAAACCGAAUAAUUGAUUGUUGGUGUUGUUUUACUGAUUAGCUUAGAAGCAGAGACUUAGCAUGGGGGACUGCCGCUUGAAGAGAUGCAAAUGUUGCAACUUCACCAGAGGUUCUAUGUUGGAAGUUGUGUGUGUCGGUGGUUCAAGUUCACAAGGAUUGGCACCAUGGACUGGAGAAUUGUCGCAA
This is a non-coding RNA of Triticum urartu, 793 nucleotides long. The record is from RefSeq and is a predicted model, not a curated record. NCBI's taxonomy places the organism in Eukaryota, Viridiplantae, Streptophyta, Magnoliopsida, Poales, Poaceae.